Molecule: ribosomal RNA, 1210 nt
Filed under: Arthrobacter humicola
Lineage: Bacteria; Bacillati; Actinomycetota; Actinomycetes; Micrococcales; Micrococcaceae
Description: bacterial SSU rRNA
Rfam family: Bacterial small subunit ribosomal RNA
Source: RNAcentral
CCUUAACUCUGGGAUAAGCCUGGGAAACUGGGUCUAAUACCGGAUAUGACUCCUCAUCGCAUGGUGGGGGGUGGAAAGCUUUAUUGUGGUUUUGGAUGGACUCGCGGCCUAUCAGCUUGUUGGUGAGGUAAUGGCUCACCAAGGCGACGACGGGUAGCCGGCCUGAGAGGGUGACCGGCCACACUGGGACUGAGACACGGCCCAGACUCCUACGGGAGGCAGCAGUGGGGAAUAUUGCACAAUGGGCGCAAGCCUGAUGCAGCGACGCCGCGUGAGGGAUGACGGCCUUCGGGUUGUAAACCUCUUUCAGUAGGGAAGAAGCGAAAGUGACGGUACCUGCAGAAGAAGCGCCGGCUAACUACGUGCCAGCAGCCGCGGUAAUACGUAGGGCGCAAGCGUUAUCCGGAAUUAUUGGGCGUAAAGAGCUCGUAGGCGGUUUGUCGCGUCUGCCGUGAAAGUCCGGGGCUCAACUCCGGAUCUGCGGUGGGUACGGGCAGACUAGAGUGAUGUAGGGGAGACUGGAAUUCCUGGUGUAGCGGUGAAAUGCGCAGAUAUCAGGAGGAACACCGAUGGCGAAGGCAGGUCUCUGGGCAUUAACUGACGCUGAGGAGCGAAAGCAUGGGGAGCGAACAGGAUUAGAUACCCUGGUAGUCCAUGCCGUAAACGUUGGGCACUAGGUGUGGGGGACAUUCCACGUUUUCCGCGCCGUAGCUAACGCAUUAAGUGCCCCGCCUGGGGAGUACGGCCGCAAGGCUAAAACUCAAAGGAAUUGACGGGGGCCCGCACAAGCGGCGGAGCAUGCGGAUUAAUUCGAUGCAACGCGAAGAACCUUACCAAGGCUUGACAUGGGCCGGACCGGGCUGGAAACAGUCCUUCCCCUUUGGGGCCGGUUCACAGGUGGUGCAUGGUUGUCGUCAGCUCGUGUCGUGAGAUGUUGGGUUAAGUCCCGCAACGAGCGCAACCCUCGUUCCAUGUUGCCAGCGCGUAAUGGCGGGGACUCAUGGGAGACUGCCGGGGUCAACUCGGAGGAAGGUGGGGACGACGUCAAAUCAUCAUGCCCCUUAUGUCUUGGGCUUCACGCAUGCUACAAUGGCCGGUACAAAGGGUUGCGAUACUGUGAGGUGGAGCUAAUCCCAAAAAGCCGGUCUCAGUUCGGAUUGGGGUCUGCAACUCGACCCCAUGAAGUCGGAGUCGCUAGUAAUCGCAGAUC